RNAcentral lists this transfer RNA (76 nucleotides) under Bacillota bacterium. RNAcentral describes it as "tRNA-Ala". It matches the Rfam family "tRNA". From Rfam's summary of the family: Transfer RNA (tRNA) molecules are approximately 80 nucleotides in length. Their secondary structure includes four short double-helical elements and three loops (D, anti-codon, and T loops). Lineage: Bacteria; Bacillati; Bacillota. The record is from RNAcentral. RNAcentral also lists the same sequence under 2 other names.
GGGGGCGUGGCUCAGUUGGGAGAGCGCCUGCUUUGCAAGCAGGAGGUCGGCGGUUCGAUUCCGCCCGUCUCCACCA